RNAcentral lists this ribosomal RNA (560 nucleotides) under Jeotgalibacillus marinus. RNAcentral's name for it is "bacterial SSU rRNA". It matches the Rfam family "Bacterial small subunit ribosomal RNA", at positions 190 to 737 of the family's 1533-position model. The record is from RNAcentral. Lineage: Bacteria; Bacillati; Bacillota; Bacilli; Caryophanales; Caryophanaceae.
UGAUUCUUUUUUGAAAGGCGGCUUCGGCUGUCACUGCAGGAUGGGCCCGCGGCGCAUUAGCUAGUUGGUGAGGUAACGGCUCACCAAGGCAACGAUGCGUAGCCGACCUGAGAGGGUGAUCGGCCACACUGGGACUGAGACACGGCCCAGACUCCUACGGGAGGCAGCAGUAGGGAAUCUUCCGCAAUGGACGAAAGUCUGACGGAGCAACGCCGCGUGAGUGAAGAAGGUUUUCGGAUCGUAAAGCUCUGUUGUUAGGGAAGAACAAGUACCAUAGUAACUGAUGGUACCUUGACGGUACCUAACCAGAAAGCCACGGCUAACUACGUGCCAGCAGCCGCGGUAAUACGUAGGUGGCAAGCGUUGUCCGGAAUUAUUGGGCGUAAAGCGCGCGCAGGUGGUUCCAAAAGUCUGAUGUGAAAGCCCCCGGCUCAACCGGGGAGGGUCAUUGGAAACUGGGGAACUUGAGUGCAGGAGAGGAAAGUGGAAUUCCACGUGUAGCGGUGAAAUGCGUAGAUAUGUGGAGGAACACCAGUGGCGAAGGCGACUUUCUGGCCUGU